This 61-nucleotide transfer RNA is filed under the name Phyllodiaptomus tunguidus. RNAcentral's name for it is "tRNA-Asn". Lineage: Eukaryota; Metazoa; Arthropoda; Copepoda; Calanoida; Diaptomidae. The record is from RNAcentral.
UUAACAGAAGUUUUAAACAUUUCAUUGUUAAUGAGAAAAUGGGUUAUUGACCCCUGUUAAU